AACCCUCUGCAAGUUGUUAACAGACCUGUAACUCGAUCCAUUGCAUGGGAUCUUAACAGUGUCUCUCAAAUUUCUCAAUCUUUAUGUGUGUGUGAGAUAUUUCAAGCUUCACACUGUGUCAGAAACCCCUCACUCAUUUAACACUACAUCUGGGUGUUGAUGUAAUGCAUCCCUAGACUGACAAAUCCCAAUGUGUAAAUCAAAAGGAUCCAUACCAAUGAAAAUUGACUGAAUUUAUGAUGGCUGUCAACCUACUGCAACCCUUCUCAUUUCCCAUUAUUCUUUCUUCUACUUUUUUUACCUUAUUCUCUCCUCCUUUAGUUGGUUGUUACGGCUAAUAAACCUUUAUUAAAACAUACUAUAACAGUUGUUUCAACCGAUACACAUUACACAGGCAUUUCACAAUUAAGUAAGAACCACAUGGAGUGUAUCAAAAAAUAUUGAAUCGGUCCUUAAAAAAUCCUUUGCAUAUUGACCAAUACAAUAUGUAACAAACCAUAUGGAUGAUUCGGUAGUAAAGCAACAAGAGUGAUUUUGAUAGGGAUGUGGAAUAGAGCCUGGAAAAUCCCGGAGAAUUCUAGGGGAAUUUGUAACAGAAAGGAUGA
Molecule: unclassified non-coding RNA, 605 nt
Filed under: Hevea brasiliensis (rubber tree)
Lineage: Eukaryota; Viridiplantae; Streptophyta; Magnoliopsida; Malpighiales; Euphorbiaceae
Source: RNAcentral